GUCACCCCGAUUAUUACAGCCC
RNAcentral lists this non-coding RNA (22 nucleotides) under Arabidopsis thaliana (thale cress). The record is from RNAcentral. Lineage: Eukaryota; Viridiplantae; Streptophyta; Magnoliopsida; Brassicales; Brassicaceae.